This 454-nucleotide unclassified non-coding RNA is filed under the name Hevea brasiliensis (rubber tree). Lineage: Eukaryota; Viridiplantae; Streptophyta; Magnoliopsida; Malpighiales; Euphorbiaceae. The record is from RNAcentral.
CUGUGGUAUUGAUCCCUGAUUGCUUCUUCAUUGAUUUCAUUGAUGCAAUGUGCAGAGAUUAUGUGGAAGAGAAGAAAGAAUUGAUCCGAGCUAUUCCUAAAGACAGAAAGCUUUUGGACGUUCCCAAGAUCACCCAGCCAACGCUGAUAAUCUGGGGAGAAAAUGAUCGAAUUUUUCCAUUGGAACUGGGUCACAGAUUAAAAAGGCAUCUGUGGGACAAUGCCCAUCUGGCGGUCAUCAAGAAUGCAGGGCACGCCGUCAAUGUAGAGAGGCCAAAGGAGUACAUCAAGCUUUUGAAAUCGUUCCUGAUUGAUAGGCAACUUCCUCCAGAGACAGCUCAGCUUUANNNNAACAUUUGAUUAAACAGAAGUUAGAGUUGGUGAGGUGAGAGGUUCCUGAAAACGAUUUAACUUCUGUGGUAGACUAAUGGGAUUCAGAACAAAAAAUACAACGC